CAACCUUGCAACAUUGAGACUACCGUCCCGGAAAGAGAACAGAGCGGGAAAUCCUGCCAAGUUUCCCUUUAACAGCUGCUACCGAACGCGAGCUACCGCUGGAGCUGUGAAUCUUCUGAACGUCUUCGCCUGCUGUGCCGUGGUCACUUUAUUUGCUCGUAAACCUUCAGAGGCACAUUUCUCUAAUUAGAGACAAGGUUCCAGACCAGACCAGUGGUGAUGACCGUGUAUGACAUUACAUGUGUGCCUGUCUGUGUGCACACCUGCCAACCAAUCUCUGACAAUGUUGCUAGCAACAUACCUACUAACAUACAUUCUUACAAACAUGUGACCAUAUCUCAACAUAUCUGUACACAUACCAUUUAACCAUACUGAGACUUAUCCGAGAUCUACACUGAGACAUUGUAACUUGUAUACUUGUGAAUCAUUCAUACCUCUGAAUCAUACCUGUGCUGUAACAUACAUAGCUGUGCUGUUAGAUCUCUCUUUUUAGA
Alosa alosa (allis shad) is the source of this 494-nucleotide long non-coding RNA. RefSeq lists it as uncharacterized. Lineage: Eukaryota; Metazoa; Chordata; Actinopteri; Clupeiformes; Clupeidae. The record is from RefSeq and is a predicted model, not a curated record. The transcript is spliced from 3 exons.